UCCAAGUAAGAUGCUACCCAGACCUCCGC
RNAcentral lists this non-coding RNA (29 nucleotides) under Mus musculus (house mouse). The record is from RNAcentral. Lineage: Eukaryota; Metazoa; Chordata; Mammalia; Rodentia; Muridae.